RNAcentral lists this long non-coding RNA (1351 nucleotides) under Lynx pardinus (Iberian lynx). The record is from RNAcentral. Lineage: Eukaryota; Metazoa; Chordata; Mammalia; Carnivora; Felidae.
CAAUCUGCCACCUGAGACGAGCUGAAUGCCAUUAUUACUCUUCUUAGGCAGCCCCGCCCCUGGAGGGAAAAGUGAGGUAACGGAAAUGACGACACAGCUCCCUGUUAAAUAGCUGUAGGCGGGCCUCUGGCGCUCUCUCCGCCUUAGCGCCAUCUUCUUGGGUGAGUGUUGGGGCUGUUUGUGUUUGUAUUCCGUGCUCAAUCCAUUAACAUCCGAUCUCUGCACUUGCCAUCAUUACACGAAACUAACUGUAGCUUUUUUCUCUUUACCUGUAGAAACCUCUCCGCCAUGAGAGCUAAGGUAAGCAGUCCUUGGCAGUAAGCUGAGGCAGUAGAGAUUAGUGAUGGGGGGGGCGGGGGACAACUAGGCAAGGGAAGUCCGCCAUGGUUCCCGAGCCGCUGGGUUCUCAAGGGUGCCCAAGAGCUAGCGGAAGAGGAAAGGCUAAUUUGGGGAGAAGCAAAAGAGGUGGGUAAGUACUGUGGGCACAAAGGGCGGGAGUAGAAAAGCGCACGCGGGAUUCAUAUCUAUUUUGGCGGGUGAGGGUGGGAGUCCAAAUUAUUGCUGGAUUUACUGUGACUAUACCUACAUAGUUGGUCAAGAACCUGCCAGGUUCUAAAUAAUGCCCUUCACAUCUCUGCCCAGAUCUCUUAUUAAAACUAAUCUCUUGUUUUAUUCUCUGCCUCUGGCUGUGAUGGGUUGCAGUGGAGGAAGAAGCGAAUGCGCAGGUAUGUUGAGACUUGACCGGCCAACAGAGGAAGGGAAAUGUAGCGUGUCUUGGACAAAACUUGGAACGUUUGGUUUAGAAAUCUGAAAGAACUUGAGGUGAAAAUGUUAUAAGCAUUGACUUGCAUAGUCGGGGAUUGAACGCAGGAUAGUAGAAUGAAGUACUUGUCCGUUUUGACACCCCAUGUAUUAGAUGCACAUUUAAGAUGGGAGGGAAAGACUGAACUCGGGUUUGUGGGCAGGAGAUGUAUUCCCGUGUCUGCUUUUCAGGCUGAAGCGUAAAAGAAGAAAGAUGAGGCAGAGGUCCAAGUAAACCGCUAGCUUGUGCACCCAUGGAGCCACAGGAGCAGAAAUAAGGAAAGCCAGAGGCCAGGGACGCUGGUACCAAUUGUUGGACUGCAUGCCUACUUUCUAGAGCUUGAUUCAGUGGAUCUAGAACAUCCAUCGCCAUCUGAUCGCAACGACCACCUUUGAGAGACUCGCCUUGUUCAUAUCAGAAGUCCCUUUUGGUCCGUUGCUCUGGACCUGUGACUUUCGGGACUAAUUCUGUUUUCAUGUGUGGCUGAAUGUAACAACGUAUACAAUAAAUCUUCUCUUCUGCUGUCUUAGCUGAAGAAAAAAAUGGUUU